Callithrix jacchus (white-tufted-ear marmoset) is the source of this 2309-nucleotide long non-coding RNA. NCBI's taxonomy places the organism in Eukaryota, Metazoa, Chordata, Mammalia, Primates, Cebidae. The record is from Ensembl.
CUGGUAUAGACUGAGUGCUUGUACCCCUCCUCCCACAUUCAUAUGUUGAAAUCUUUAUUAUAAUUAAUAUUAGGAGAUGGGACCUUAGAAGUAAUUAGGUCAUGAGGUGAUGCCCUCAUGGAUGAGGUUAGUGUUCUUAAAAAAGAGGUCCUAAGAGAUCCCUUGUCCUUUCUACCAGGUAAUGUUAUAGUAAAAGAUGGUUGUCUGGGACGAGAGCCCUCACCAGACACUAAAUCUAUUUAGAAAGAAUUAGAAAGUUUAACUCACCUAUCAAGUUAUGCAUAGAAUGCAAGAAAUUCGAGGGCGCAGACAAAAUGUGCCAUGAGUGAUGGCCUUGGGUGAUCUACAGACAUCCCUGGCUCUAGCAGUCAUUUGUGUGGGGAGUAAGAUCGCUACAGAAGUUUUGGAAAUAUGUCCAGACAUGGAGGUGCUGCAGAGGAAGGAGGGAGAAUAUGCCUUUCUGCAGAUCUUUCUUGGAAGAGAGGCUGGAGUGCAGUGGGGCAAUCUUGGCUCACUACAAAUUCUGCCUCCCAGGUUCGAGUGACUCUCCUGCCUCAGCCUCCUGAGUAGCUGGGAUUAGAGGCCUGCACCAACAUACUCAGGUAAUUUUUAUGUCUUUAGUAGGGAGGGGAUUUUGCCAUGUUGGCCAGGUUGGUCUCAAACUGCUGGCCUCAAGUGAUCCACUUGCCUCGGCCUCCCAAAGUGUUGAAAUUACAGGUAUAAGCCACCACACCUGGCCUUCCUAUACUGUUAGUUAAGGCAUAAACAGAAUAGCAGAGAUUAGGGGGAUACUCACCAAUUCCUUUCAUCUUGUGAGGCACACUUGGAAAUCUAAAUUUCCUACCCUUCCUUGCAGGUAGGUUGGAGAUAUGUGCCAGGUACUGGUCAAUGAAAUGGGGACAAAAAGUGAUACAGAAUACUUCCAACUCUCACAUAAAUUUCUCUAGAUAAUUUUCUUUGCUCUUUCUUUUCCUUUCAUGUAGAGAAGGAAUUCAUAUGCUGGAAUAAUAGCGACACAGGCUAUAAGGAGCCUGGAUCCCUGAGUCAUCAUAUGGAGGAGAACUACUCAGAGGAGUCAUCCAACCCUCAUAGGUGGCAUGAGUGGGAAUUAAACAUUAUGUUAAGCCAUUACAGUUUGGGGUUGUUUGUUACAGAAGUGUUCAUUCUCCCUUAUUGACCCACCUACUGAAUUCCAAAAUUUGGGUAGGCACUGAUAGCAGCCCAUAAAGUAGGCACCUGGGUAGACAUACAAAGAUUACAGUUUAUAGAAGCUUGAUCCUUUAAGAAAUCUGAUUUGUGUGAUCGAGGACAGUGCUGAUAAUAUCUCAACAGACACUUGGCCUAGUGCUUCUGUAGUUAUUAAGAUGACAGUUCCAUGGGAGUCUUUGCUAUAGUUAUUGGAGGGGAUCUUUCUGUUGCUCCACAGACCAUUUUUUGGGUUAGGAUCAGCUUCUUGCUUAUGUAGAGACAGGGACUUCAGUCAGAGGAUCAGGGAGUACAUUUGGGAUGGGAUGCUCAGGGGCCCAGCUCCAACUUACAUAGAGCCUGCAUUUAGUUGCUUUUUGACAGCAACUGAACAGGAUAGAAGUUUGUUGUGUUUUUUUUUAACUUACAUACACUGUGGCCAUUCAGCCUUUCUGAGUUCAUCAUUGCAAGGGCUUUCUCAAUUCCUACAUGUUAGAAAGGGGAAUCACCCAAAUAGAAAACUUCUAGCUUGAGUGAUUAAAGGAAGAUGUAACCAAGUGGAUUUGAUUACAUCUUCUCGGACGCUGGGUCCUUCCAACACCCCUUUAGUGCCCUCUUUCAGCCUCCAGAGUACCAGUGCUUCAGAGAUUUUAUCCUACAGAAUCCUUAUAAUAACUUCCUAUGAGGUAGAUUGUAUUAUCUCCAUUUCACAGAUAAAUCUGACGCAAAAAUAAAUUGCAGUGAUUUACCCUGAAUCACAUGUCCAAUAAGUGGUAGAGCUUAUUAAAGAAUGAACCUUUAUUUUUGCAGCUCCACUGGUGGGGCUAUAGAAUAAAACCUAAGUUUCUUCAUGCUGGGAGAUUUAAAUUGGAAGCAGAUAAGUUUGGGAAAUAGCAUCAAAUAUGCAGGGAAAGUUGCUUAAUUUAAUAUUAAUCUCAUAAUUAAGUCAAAGGUCAAGGUUUAUUUCAAAUUAAAUUUAUCAUGAGCUUAGGAAAACCUCUUUAUGGUUUUGGUAAAUUGUCAUCUUUCAAAUGAAUCUCCUGACUUUCCCAGUGCAAAAAGUUCUCUGCAUGGCCACAUUAAGAGAAAGAAAGACAUAGAGCUACAAUUCAUGCUUUUGUUAA